RNAcentral lists this ribosomal RNA (245 nucleotides) under uncultured bacterium. RNAcentral's name for it is "partial 16S ribosomal RNA". It matches the Rfam family "Bacterial small subunit ribosomal RNA", at positions 524 to 768 of the family's 1533-position model. The record is from RNAcentral.
GACGUAGGGAGCAAGCGUUGUCCGGAGUUACUGGGCGUAAAGCGCACGCAGGCGGUCUCUUACGUUGGCUCUGACAGCUGGCGGCUUCACUGCCAGAGGUGGGUCAAAACGGCGAGACUUGAGGCUCAGAGAGGGACACGGAAUUCCGGGUGGAGCGGUGAAAUGCGUAGAGAUCCGGAAGAACACCAAAGGCGAAGGCAGUGUCCUGGCUGAGCACUGACGCUCAGGUGCGAAAGCUAGGGGAG